This is a non-coding RNA of Leptonychotes weddellii (Weddell seal), 1031 nucleotides long. Lineage: Eukaryota; Metazoa; Chordata; Mammalia; Carnivora; Phocidae. The record is from RefSeq and is a predicted model, not a curated record.
GUCUGGUUCGGUUCGGCCCCGGGGCUGCGGCGGCUCCGGGGCUGCGGGGUGUGACCCACGCCCUGGGGAGCCACCUCGCCGCCGCUGAGUGGAAGCCCCGAGAGAGGUGGGUGCGAGGCCCGCAGGCGGCGGAGUCCUUCGGGUGAAGCCGGGAGCUCAUGGUCCGAGGUGACGAGGAGGAAGCUCAAGAUGCUCUGCUGGCUGCUCGCGGGGGCAGAGGAUCGCAGAGAAGAUGGUUCUGGAGGCUGCGCCUGCAGAAGAGUUUUUGUCCAUGAGGAACGGGAUCUGAAGCUGGCUACGAAUGGCCUCCGGGACAAGACACACAGGCGAGGCGCCCCCUGAACCCUUUGAGUUCACUGUUCUCUCCUUGUUACCAAGGCAGGGCUGUGGUCCCAGAUCUGAGGAAACCUGAAUCCAGAAGUGUGAAUGGGGAAAUGCUUUCGGCUGACUGUGGCCAAUCAUCGCAUUGAAAGGCAGGCGAUGAAGAUGAACAGUUGGUUCAGAUUGCUGUCUCUUUCAACUCCAAGUUCCCCUCUGUCUUGCUGCCCUUGUGCAGGGAGAUGUUGGAAUGUCUAAGGGCAUUUUGGAAUGCUAAGGAGAAGCUGAGAAUCUGAUGCAGGUUGGAUGGCCCCCCAUGCUGUUAUCUUCCAAGGACCCAGCGGCUCAGGAACUCAGACUGUUUCAUUCUUGCAACUCUGACAUUUCAGUUUCAUUUGACCGCAGAUAGAUGCACAGAGGCAAAACGAUAGUAAGAUUCAGCCUGACACCUGCAACAUAUGGACCCAUCAGAGCAAAUAAUGUCUCUCUGUGGACUUUUAUUAGGCCCAUUCAUAUGUUUUACAAGAAAGAGUGGCUGUUUUUAUGGGAUCCUAAAUUUUUUUGUCCAAGAAUUUCAUACAUGACACAAUUUGGAUUGUUUGCCAUUUUAUACCUCUUCAUCCAUUAUCAUCUUGGGGAUGACUUUCAUCUUUCUUUGCAUUGGGCUUUCAUUUCUUGUAUGUCAUGUAUUUGUCUUUCCUGCUUUACUUCCU